CUCACAUAGUGGCCUUAUGACUGUAGUCAUCAAAAAUCACCUAAAAAACAAAUCUUUUAAAAGUGACUACACUUUUUUUGUUGUUGUUGCUGUCUCUGUUUUUAAAAGCUGUAGCAGGAAGAGAUAUCUACAGGGAGUAUACUGUAAUUGAAGUGUAGUUCUUUACAAAAUCUAAAAAAUUAAAAUAUAAAAAAUAAAACAAAACAAAAGCAAUGUGAAGAUACACUUACUUCCCUAACUUUGCUUCAGAUUUAAACGCUUAAGUGUGAAACUUUGCAUGGAUCUUCCUGGGCUUGGAAGAGCACUAAGCUCUUGGCCCAGGGCCUGGAAUAGAACCCUUCCUCUGCACAGACAGCACCGGUGUAGGGGGAAGAAGGAGUAAUCAUUUUCCUCUGACUGCUGGCUCAGCAUUGGUAGGCAAGACACACUCUUUCCAAUUGUGGGGGACUUGGCUGGGAUCUGGUAACUGGGAGCAAGAAGAAAGGACAGGCAGGUUUUUCCCACCCUGCAAGUGGAAAGAAUCUGUGCGCUCGGUUUCAAAUGCUAUUGGAACAGCUCUGUUCAGAAUUCUGGAUCUCAAGCUCCCCUCCAGCCUUGUCCAGGAAACCCUUGUCCUUUGCAAGGACCAAAGUGUCCAAGUAGUGCAGUGUGUGUGUGUGUGUGUACAAGCAAAUUGGAAGAGGAAGAGUUAAAUUAAAUCAUUACCUUCUGUGCAUCGGAAUUCUUUCCCAGGGCUCCCAACUCUAGUGAAGAGAAGUUAAAGGCUGUUGAAUAUCCAAGCCUCAGCCAGAGGAUCAAACAUAAUUUUAAAUCUUACUUCACACUUCUGUUUCUGUUUCAGCAGGUCCACUUUGUUAGACUCCAAAGGCCAGAAGAUGAGCAUGACUAAGGGAAGGAAGCUCUGAGAGUCAACAAUGGAUCACAAUUUCCGCUUCAAAUGUCAAAACAUACCCAUACCCUCUGCCUUUAAAUUCCUGGUUUCUCUUGUGACUCUUAAUUACAUAUGCCAUUCUCUUUUAAGGAAAACUAGGUCAAUUUGAAUCCUUUCUCAAUGUGAUUAUAAAAGGGGAAAUUCCUUGAACUACUCAGAGAAUAUUCUUUUAAUAUUUUUCUUUUGUUGUGUAAAAGAAAGCUGGAGAAUUUUCAAUAUCAGAACACCCCACCCCUGGACUGAAUCACUUCAAAACCAAAUGUUCAGCUGUUUGCAGCUCCAUCGUUAGAUUGCUUUGUUAU
Molecule: long non-coding RNA, 1233 nt
Filed under: Anas platyrhynchos platyrhynchos (common mallard)
Lineage: Eukaryota; Metazoa; Chordata; Aves; Anseriformes; Anatidae
Description: lncRNA (ENSAPLG00000024139.1)
Source: RNAcentral